RNAcentral lists this transfer RNA (75 nucleotides) under Vibrio alginolyticus. Its description in RNAcentral is "tRNA-Gln". It matches the Rfam family "tRNA". From Rfam's summary of the family: Transfer RNA (tRNA) molecules are approximately 80 nucleotides in length. Their secondary structure includes four short double-helical elements and three loops (D, anti-codon, and T loops). The record is from RNAcentral. Lineage: Bacteria; Pseudomonadati; Pseudomonadota; Gammaproteobacteria; Vibrionales; Vibrionaceae.
AGGGCUAUCGCCAAGCGGCACGGCAGCGGCUUUUGAUGCCAGCAUUACCUGGUUCGAAUCCAGGUAGCCCAGCAA